CACUUCAUUCCUGUUCAUUAUUGUGUUGUGAAAACUCAAAACUCAUUUUUUACUGGGGUAAGGCAAUCUCUAUGGUAAUUCUGCACUUUGUUCCUCUUUCUAUCAUAGAUUUAGAGAUGAUUUCUUGCCUUGUAGUUCAGCUUUGUAUGGAUCUGGAAAUGUCAGCCAAUUGUUGUAAGUGAUCAGUAAAGGUUCAGGAAUGACUAUCUCAAAUUUACAUAGAUAUAUUGGAUUUGUUGGCUACAUGUUCUAUGUUUUGGACAGAAAAUGAACUGUUUUACAUAUUACUCAUUGCCAUCUAUGGCAAGUGAUGUCAACAUUGCAUGUAAGGAAAUGAAAAUUAUUAUAUUGUUUUAAUCUUGUAGAGCUAUGAUGAGUGGUAUUUUCCUAAGCUUUUCUGAUUUGAUGUGUUGCGUUCAGUUUUAAAUUGAUCAUCUUUGUUUAGGUUUUGCUGUUUAAAUUGCAGGAUGGUAAGAUUGAAGGUAGCAUAUGUCCUAAAGAAAUAAAGGAGUGUGUGCACCAUUCUCUGUGUUUAGAUGCUCCUAUUCAUUAACAUUGAUUUUUGGUUGCCCAUAUGAAUAUUGUUGUUUACUUUAGACCUGUUGAAGCUUUCAAUCAAGUGAAGUUGCGGAUUUGAUAUGCUUCUAUGCCUGUUAAUGAUGUUUCUAUUCAUUUGCCCAUGGUUUGCUUGUCAUUUAACAUGGUUUUGCAUCUAAUUUGGCAUGGAUGUCAACUGAUAAAAUUGCCAAUGAAUGCUACUAAACUAAGGUAUUUCUUUGGAUGACCCACUGUUUUCUUUGUUGCUGAGAUAUCAAACUAUAAGCCCUAACUUGCAAGGCCCAUACAUUUUACCUUUUAUUCCAUUUUGGUGUCUAAUCAUCUUUUUCUUUUAUAUGCUAUUUUUUGGUUUAAUUCUUCUAUUCAAGAUUAUUUUUAGCUUUGGUUGCAAAUAUUUUGGUGAAAGAAUUUUGACAUAUUGAAGUGACAAAAGCAUAUAGUGUCAAAUUUAUCCCACUUAUUAUUACCAAAAGUAGAAAAGGUAAAAAAGAUAAAGUUGAUUAAAGGGAUAUUUCUAGGUCUGUUAAAGUUAUGAAUUUAAGGAUAAGUUAGUUUAAAAAAAAAUUGGAAGAUAUUUAUUCGCAUUCAUUUAUAAAAUGAGAACAUUUAUUUUAAUAUAUCAGGCUUGAUGAAUUUAUUAUAAAAUAAUAAAUUACUUGUAAAUAUGCAUUAUUUGUUUGUUUUUUCCUCCUGUCCAUUCAACAACAUUGCACCUAGUAAUAUAGAUUGGAACCUCAACCAAACUCAAAGAAAAUAUGCAUCAGACAUGCUUUGAUUUUUGUCUGUUUAUUUUUAAAACUUUCUUCACUUCCUUUACAUCAGACCGUCUUUAUGCCUAUGAUGUUCAUCUCCUUGAAGAGUAGGGUUGAAGAAUAGAAGCAGGAAGAGAAGAGAGAUUUCAAAGACGAAAGAAGCUAAACCAUUCUGCAGAUCGGAAGUUGGAUCAGAUAUACCCACUGAAGAAUUUGUGCCACAUUAUUAGUAUGCAAGUAAAUUAUUGAAGAGUGGGAUGACAAAGAAUGUAAAGAAACUUUACAUCAAUGGGAGGAUGAUUGGAUGAUGAUGGUGUGAAUGAUGACUUCUUAUUGUAGUUGAAGAAUGAGCUUGAUAGCAACUCUGAGAAGAAAUCGACUGUGGAGUCAUGGAGGCAGAGAAUUGAUGAAUCAAUUGGCUGUCUUCUUAGCAAUUCUCUUGUGCCAAAAUAAAUUAACUUUGACAAUCCGACUUGGGUCACCGAGUUUAAAUAUAUGAAUUUUGUUGUUUUAUUUUGGCAUUAGUUAUUUUGGGGACAUAUAUACUCGUUCAUUUGGAAAAUUAUGUUUGUUUGAAAUACUCUGA
Molecule: long non-coding RNA, 1896 nt
Organism: Dioscorea cayenensis subsp. rotundata (Guinea yam)
Lineage: Eukaryota; Viridiplantae; Streptophyta; Magnoliopsida; Dioscoreales; Dioscoreaceae
Exons: 3
Source: RefSeq, a predicted model, not a curated record